This is an RNA transcript of Nematostella vectensis (starlet sea anemone), 4240 nucleotides long. It is a transcript of the gene named A disintegrin and metalloproteinase with thrombospondin motifs 12, with no coding region annotated. The record is from RefSeq and is a predicted model, not a curated record. Lineage: Eukaryota; Metazoa; Cnidaria; Anthozoa; Actiniaria; Edwardsiidae. The transcript is spliced from 23 exons.
GGUGUUUCCUUAAAACGGCCAGAUUUCUGUCACUCGUUCUUCUCCCGAGGGAUUAUCGAUUGGAGGCUGUCACGCCAUUAUUACCUAUGGUUAAAUUUUUACUUAGCCGAUGUCGAAGUUACAUGACUUCACUUGCACUAUGGAAGAUCGCUGGACGUUGCCGUACUCAAGUGGUCAUAAGACAAGUUAGCUAUCGUUAUGAAUUCUAUCCAACGCUCUCUAAUCUUCCUAAGGCUUUUGAUUUUGCUCGUCACAUUAUUUGACAAGAACGCAUUUGCGGAGGCCGUGUCUAGCGAUGCAAAGCGAUCCCUGCGGCUUCAUGAACUGCUGACCGCGGAAGAGACGGUGAGAUUGUUCAAUGAUAAACAAGCUGUUCCAGACUAUGAGAUCACACAGCUGUCCAAUCACAGGGCACCACGAGAUCUCCAUGACAACCAUAGACUCCAUAGCCUUAAAGCGUUCGAUAAAGACUUCCAGUUAUCACUCCAGCCAGCAGAAGACGUCGUUUCGCCCCAGCUAGUGCUCAUGCGCAGAAGACCUGGUGACGUAUGGACAAAAGAGCUGUACACUCCCAAGGGCACGUUCCUACAAGGUCAUGUGACACAAGAUCCGCGAUCCCAUGUGGCUGUGCGGGAACUGGGCUCCAACCAGCUGAGCGGCGCCAUUAUAAGCGACGGUCACGAGUACAAGAUCGAGCCUGUGCCUCAUCACAUCAGACGGAAAAUGAACCUGGAAGGGCACCGACAUCACGUGAUCAGCAGAAGAAGCUUGCGCUCCAAAGGGUCCCACGCGGAACCCUUAAAAGUUCCCGGAAAGUCGACUGAGCAAUACACGACCAGCAAGCGCACUAGGAGGAGCCUGGACCCGAAAGUGAUUGAAGUCAUGAUGACACUUGACGAGCCGUCUGUGGGUUUCUAUGGCAACCAGAGUAUGAACUAUGUGUUAGGAGUAGCGAACAUGGUCCACAGGCUUUACCGUGACAAGUCCAUUGGCUUUGACUGCUCAUUCACACUGACGAAAGUCUUUUUGAUCGAAUCAUACCUGGCGGAGCUCGACAUCAAAUUGAACGAAAUCGGCUCUGCUUCUAAGUACCUGAGCGUGUUCAGCAAAUGGUUCCAGACGGUCAACACUCCAGCAGGGUCUGUGGAGCACUUUGAUAAUGCCGUCAUGCUUACAAGAGAUAUUUGUGGAACCAACAGUUGUCAACUUGAUGGUCUCGCGUACUUUGGCUAUCCUUGCAGCACAAGCCUCGGAGCGAGCGUCAAUGAUGCGCACGGCGUCUCCGCCGCCUUCUCGGUUGCUCAUGAAGUGGCACACAAUUUUGGUGUUGAUCACGACUCCGGUUCAUGUUAUGAUGGCUUUAUAAUGAGCGCUGGGCAAGCGACGGGAGUAAAUGCCUUCAAGUGGUCUGCAUGCAGCCAGACGACCCUAACAAGGGUAUUCAGCCAAGUCACGUGUUACGACAACAAACCACCAAAGGAAAUCAUUCUCCCCAGUCUUCCGCCCGGAUAUGAGUUUGAUGGUGAUCAACAAUGCAAGUUUAUAUAUGGCUCGCAAUACACGCUCUGCCCUGUUACCACGAACAAUUGUGGUACUCUUUUUUGCCUGCGCGGGUCUGAUUGUAUCACCUCUCGAGGCGGGCCCCCUGUGGACGGAACCCCAUGCGGAAACAGAAAGUGGUGUGUCAGCGGUCAUUGCGUGAGUGUCGGUACCAGUCUCCCACCUCCCAUAAACGGUGGAUGGGGGGCUUGGGGCCCGUAUGGAGCCUGCUCAAGAACUUGUGGCGGUGGGGUACGUCAUCGCUCUCGCAAAUGCGACAGCCCAAGUCCUCAGCUUGGCGGCAAACCAUGUGAGGGUAAACCUAUCGGAGAAUGGGUGAUCUGUAACCAACAGGAUUGCCCCCCAGGGGGUGAUUCGUACCGUACUCUUCAGUGCAAGGCCAAGUCUUCAAGUUAUGAUAAGUACUAUCCAUAUGGUGAUCCGUGCACGCUGUGGUGUAUUGAAGGCUCGUCGGCCACAAUUGAGGGCUACGUCGAAGACGGGACAAAGUAUGACCCGUCUGACCCGAAAAAUCGAGACAUCUGCAUCGAUGGCGUAAGAGUGGCUGUUGGAUGCGACGACAUCAUUGGAUCAGGGAAUAUCUUUGACAGGUGUUUUAAGUGCAAGGCCGACGGUGGCAGCUGCAUUCGCAAGGAGUUCUCCUACACAAAGAACUGGGUGAAAUUCGGGCUUGACAAUGCCGACCCGAUGCUCGAGCUUCCUAACGGAACUACAAGAUGCGUGAUCAGGGAGAAUUCACCUACUAAGAAUAUUGUCGUUAUGAAAAUCAAAAAUAGCCAGGAAUUGAUUUUCCCGAACGCAAUAUCAGGAUCAAAGGACGUCGCAGGCACGACAGUGCAUUACAUCCGCGGAGGCCCGUCAAGUGAAGAGAAAAUGUACUUUGAUGGGCCUACAACGCAAGCGCUUGUACCUUUGUUUGCCUAUUUUGGUACGACAAAUGUUGGCUACACGAUAACAUACCACGAGCCAGGCCUGGCCGCACAGACCGCUUUCGUGUGGAAGACCCAUUACACGGGGAAUUGCAGUAAAUCCUGCGCACAAGGCUACAGACCUCAAGCUGUCACAUGUCACCGAGGAGACGAUAACUCUCUAGUGAGCGGUACCUUCUGCGACUCUGGAUCGAGGCCAAGUGACAUGGCAUUAUGCAAUGAUGUGCCUUGUCCCGCAAGUUGGAUUCCCGAGCCAUGGGAGUUGUGUUCAAAGCUUUGCGGUGGUGGUAACACGACUCGACUGGUGCCAUGCAUCCAGCGCGUCACGCAAGAAAUAGUGCGUGGAGUAGAGUACCGAUACUGCGAGGGACAAGUCCGACCUCCUCUAACAUCCACCUGUAAUCAAAUAGACUGCAACCCUGAGUGGCAGGUCGGCACGUGGUCCUCGGUAAGAUCCUCUAACAUCCACCUGUAAUCAAAUAGACUGCAACCCUGAGUGGCAGGUCGGCACGUGGUCCUCGGUAAGAUCCUCUAACAUCCACCUGUAAUCAAAUAGACUGCAACCCUGAGUGGCAGGUCGGCACGUGGUCCUCGGUAAGAUCCUCUAACAUCCACCUGUAAUCAAAUAGACUGCAACCCUGAGUGGCAGGUCGGCACGUGGUCCUCGGUAAGAUCCUCUAACAUCCACCUGUAAUCAAAUAGACUGCAACCCUGAGUGGCAGGUCGGCACGUGGUCCUCGGUAAGAUCCUCUAACAUCCACCUGUAAUCAAAUAGACUGCAACCCUGAGUGGCAGGUCGGCACGUGGUCCUCGGUAAGAUCCUCUAACAUCCACCUGUAAUCAAAUAGACUGCAACCCUGAGUGGCAGGUCGGCACGUGGUCCUCGGUAAGAUCCUCUAACAUCCACCUGUAAUCAAAUAGACUGCAACCCUGAGUGGCAGGUCGGCACGUGGUCCUCGGUAAGAUCCUCUAACAUCCACCUGUAAUCAAAUAGACUGCAACCCUGAGUGGCAGGUCGGCAUGUGGUCCUCGGUAAGAUCCUCUAACAUCCACCUGUAAUCAAAUAGACUGCAACCCUGAGUGGCAGGUCGGCACGUGGUCCUCGGUAAGAUCCUCUAACAUCCACCUGUAAUCAAAUAGACUGCAACCCUGAGUGGCAGGUCGGCAUGUGGUCCUCGGUAAGAUCCUCUAACAUCCACCUGUAAUCAAAUAGACUGCAACCCUGAGUGGCAGGUCGGCACGUGGUCCUCGGUAAGAUCCUCUAACAUCCACCUGUAAUCAAAUAGACUGCAACCCUGAGUGGCAGGUCGGCACGUGGUCCUCGGUAAGAUCCUCUAACAUCCACCUGUAAUCAAAUAGACUGCAACCCUGAGUGGCAGGUCGGCACGUGGUCCUCGGUAAGAUCCUCUAACAUCCACCUGUAAUCAAAUAGACUGCAACCCUGAGUGGCAGGUCGGCACGUGGUCCUCGGUAAGAUCCUCUAACAUCCACCUGUAAUCAAAUAGACUGCAACCCUGAGUGGCAGGUCGGCACGUGGUCCUCGGUAAGAUCCUCUAACAUCCACCUGUAAUCAAAUAGACUGCAACCCUGAGUGGCAGGUCGGCACGUGGUCCUCGUGUCGCGGUCCAAGAGGCUUACCAGGAAUAGCUAUUCGUGACGUCAUUUGCCGACAGCUGCUAGCCAAUGGCAGCUUUAUUCAAGCAGAACCUGAGAGAUGCAAGGCCGUCUCAACGCGCUCGUACCAGACCUCC